RNAcentral lists this ribosomal RNA (1242 nucleotides) under metagenome. RNAcentral's name for it is "bacterial LSU rRNA". It matches the Rfam family "Bacterial large subunit ribosomal RNA", at positions 1564 to 2815 of the family's 2925-position model. The record is from RNAcentral.
UGAGUACGAGAUGCUACGGCAUCGAAGCAGUCUAUGUCAUACUUCCAAGAAAAGCUCGCACUGUCAAAAACAAAUGAAUGCCUGUACCAUAACCGACACAGGUGGGUAGGUAGAGUAUACUAAGGGGCGCGAGAUAACUCUCUCUAAGGAACUCGGCAAAAUGACUCCGUAACUUCGGGAGAAGGAGUGCCUUAUUUAUAAGGUUGCAAUAACCAGCUCCAAGCAACUGUUUAUCAAAAACACAGGUCUCCGCUAAGUCGUAAGACGAUGUAUGGGGGCUGACGCCUGCCCAGUGCCAGAAGGUUAAAGAAGUUGGUUAGCGCAAGCGAAGCUGAUAACUGAAGCCCUGGUGAACGGCGGCCGUAACGAUAACGGUCCUAAGGUAGCGAAAUUCCUUGUCGGGUAAGUUCCGACCCGCACGAAAGGCGUAAUGAUUUGGAGGCUGUCUCGGAGAGGGACUCGGUGAAAUAGACUUGUCUGUGAAGAUGCGGACUACCUGCACCAGGACAGAAAGACCCUAUGAAGCUUUACUGUAACUUGAGAUUGAAAUUGGACUUUAUUCGCGCAGUAUAGGUGGGAGGCAUUGAAAAUAUUCUUGCGGGAAUAUUGGAGCCAUCAGUGAGAUACCACUCUUGUAAUGUUAGAUUUCUAACUUUGUAUCAUUAUCUGGUCAAAGAACAGUUUCAGGCGGGCAGUUUGACUGGGGCGGUCGCCUCCUAAAUGGUAACGGAGGCGCACAAAGGUUUCCUCUGAACGGGUAGAAAUCGUAUCUAGAGUGUAAAGGCAUAAGGAAGCUUGACUGUGAGACCUACAAGUCGAGCAGGGACGAAAGUCGGUCUUAGUGAUCUGACGGUGCUGAGUGGAAAGGCCGUCACUCAACGGAUAAAAGUUACUCUAGGAUAACAGGCUGAUCUCCCCCAAGAGUUCACAUCGACGGGGAGGUUUGGCACCUCGAUGUCGGCUCAUCGCAUCCUGGGGCGGUAGUACGUCCCAAGGGUUGGGCUGUUCGCCCAUGAAAGCGGUACGCGAGCUGGGUUCAGAACGUCGUGAGACAGUUCGGUCCAUAUCCGGUGUAGGCGUUAGAAUAUUGAGAGGAGCCUUCUAUAGUACGAGGGGACCGAGAAGGACAUACCUCUGGUGUACCAGUUAUCGUGCCAACGGUAAACGCUGGGUAGCCAUGUAUGGAGUGGAUAACCGCUGAAAGCAUCUAAGUGGGAAGCCCACCUCAAGAUAAGUAUUCUC